Molecule: ribosomal RNA, 301 nt
Filed under: uncultured bacterium
Lineage: Bacteria
Description: partial 16S ribosomal RNA
Rfam family: Bacterial small subunit ribosomal RNA
Source: RNAcentral
CAGUAGCCACGGGAAUACGAAGGGUGCAAGCGUUAAUCGGAAUUACUGGGCGUAAAGCGUGCGUAGGCGGUGAGUUAAGUCUGCUGUGAAAUCCCCGGGCUCAACCUGGGAAUGGCAGUGGAUACUGGCUCGCUAGAGUGUGUCAGAGGAUGGUGGAAUUCCCGGUGUAGCGGUGAAAUGCGUAGAGAUCGGGAGGAACAUCAGUGGCGAAGGCGGCCAUCUGGGACAACACUGACGCUGAGGCACGAAAGCGUGGGGAGCAAACAGGAUUAGAGACCCCCGUAGUCCCUGUCUCUUAUAA